This 442-nucleotide ribosomal RNA is filed under the name uncultured bacterium. RNAcentral describes it as "partial 16S ribosomal RNA". It matches the Rfam family "Bacterial small subunit ribosomal RNA", at positions 338 to 795 of the family's 1533-position model. The record is from RNAcentral.
CCUACGGGAGGCAGCAGUGGGGAAUAUUGGGCAAUGGGCGCAAGCCUGACCCAGCAACGCCGCGUGCAGGAAGACGGCUCUCGGGUUGUAAACUUCUUUUUAGAGGGAAGAGCAGAAGACGGUACCUCUUGAAUAAGCCGCGGCUAACUACGUGCCAGCAGCCGCGGUCAUACGUAGGUGGCAAGCGUUGUCCGGAUUUACUGGGUGUAAAGGGCGUGCAGCCGGGAAGACAAGUCAGAUGUGAAAUCUCGCGGCUCAACCGCGGAACUGCAUUUGAAACUGUUUUUCUUGAGUACCGGAGAGGUCAUCGGAAUUCGUGGUGUAGCGGUGAAAUGCGUAGAGAUAAGGAAGAACACCAGUGGCGAAGGCGGAUGACUGGACGGCAACUGACGGUGAGGCGCGAAAGCGUGGGGAGCAAACAGGAUUAGAUACCCGGGUAGUC